UGCUGGUCACCAGAGUGGCAUCUGGAGAAGACUGGGUCCAGGGUUGAGGUCAUCCAGGUCAGCCCCGGCUUGGCACUUCGACUAAUUGAUCUUGCCAAGGAAGAUGGUUAAGAUGCGAAGGUUGAUUUAUUUGAGGACACGUGUGUCAACCUCAUCCCACAGAAGAAAGCAGAGCACAGAAGAAAAGAGAAUGUAUGCUUUGCUGGCCUGAGCUGUUACUUAAGAGGUUUCUUUGGGGACCUCCAAGAUCAAAAGCCAUGAGGUUUAGACACAUCUGGAUUCCUAAGCCACAGAAUAAGAAUUUUGAAAUGUAUUCAAGGAGUACCCCGUUCC
Long non-coding RNA from Physeter macrocephalus (sperm whale), 333 nucleotides. RefSeq lists it as uncharacterized. The record is from RefSeq and is a predicted model, not a curated record. Lineage: Eukaryota; Metazoa; Chordata; Mammalia; Artiodactyla; Physeteridae. The transcript has 3 exons.